CAGCGCGUCAAAGUGGUAGUGAUUUGUUGUGAUCGAUCUCAUAUCACAGCCAGCUUUGAUGUGCUGUG
This 68-nucleotide microRNA precursor is filed under the name Anisakis simplex (herring worm). Its description in RNAcentral is "mir-2 microRNA precursor family". It matches the Rfam family "mir-2 microRNA precursor family". Rfam says of the family: The miRNAs are transcribed as ~70nt precursors (modelled here) and subsequently processed by the Dicer enzyme to give a ~22nt product. In this case the mature sequence comes from the 3' arm of the precursor. The extents of the hairpin precursors are not generally known and are estimated based on hairpin prediction. The record is from Rfam by way of RNAcentral. Lineage: Eukaryota; Metazoa; Nematoda; Chromadorea; Rhabditida; Anisakidae.